AUGAACGCUGGCGGCGUGCCUAAUACAUGCAAGUCGAGCGAACAGACGAGGAGCUUGCUCCUCUGACGUUAGCGGCGGACGGGUGAGUAACACGUGGAUAACCUACCUAUAAGACUGGGGUAACUUCGGGAAACCGGAGCUAAUACCGGAUAAUAUAUUGAACCGCAUGGUUCAAUAGUGAAAGACGGUUUUGCUGUCACUUAUAGAUGGAUCCGCGCCGCAUUAGCUAGUUGGUAAGGUAACGGCUUACCAAGGCAACGAUGCGUAGCCGACCUGAGAGGGUGAUCGGCCGCACUGGAACUGAGACACGGUCCAGACUCCUACGGGAGGCAGCAGUAGGGAAUCUUCCGCAAUGGGCGAAAGCCUGACGGAGCAACGCCGCGUGAGUGAUGAAGGUCUUCGGAUCGUAAAACUCUGUUAUUAGGGAAGAACAAAUGUGUAAGUAACUAUGCACGUCUUGACGGUACCUAAUCAGAAAGCCACGGCUAACUACGUG
RNAcentral lists this ribosomal RNA (496 nucleotides) under uncultured bacterium. Its description in RNAcentral is "partial 16S ribosomal RNA". It matches the Rfam family "Bacterial small subunit ribosomal RNA", at positions 29 to 507 of the family's 1533-position model. The record is from RNAcentral.